Molecule: ribosomal RNA, 1179 nt
Filed under: Bacillus amyloliquefaciens
Lineage: Bacteria; Bacillati; Bacillota; Bacilli; Caryophanales; Bacillaceae
Description: bacterial SSU rRNA
Rfam family: Bacterial small subunit ribosomal RNA
Source: RNAcentral
CUUGCUCCCUGAUGUUAGCGGCGGACGGGUGAGUAACACGUGGGUAACCUGCCUGUAAGACUGGGAUAACUCCGGGAAACCGGGGCUAAUACCGGAUGGUUGUCUGAACCGCAUGGUUCAGACAUAAAAGGUGGCUUCGGCUACCACUUACAGAUGGACCCGCGGCGCAUUAGCUAGUUGGUGAGGUAACGGCUCACCAAGGCGACGAUGCGUAGCCGACCUGAGAGGGUGAUCGGCCACACUGGGACUGAGACACGGCCCAGACUCCUACGGGAGGCAGCAGUAGGGAAUCUUCCGCAAUGGACGAAAGUCUGACGGAGCAACGCCGCGUGAGUGAUGAAGGUUUUCGGAUCGUAAAGCUCUGUUGUUAGGGAAGAACAAGUGCCGUUCAAAUAGGGCGGCACCUUGACGGUACCUAACCAGAAAGCCACGGCUAACUACGUGCCAGCAGCCGCGGUAAUACGUAGGUGGCAAGCGUUGUCCGGAAUUAUUGGGCGUAAAGGGCUCGCAGGCGGUUUCUUAAGUCUGAUGUGAAAGCCCCCGGCUCAACCGGGGAGGGUCAUUGGAAACUGGGGAACUUGAGUGCAGAAGAGGAGAGUGGAAUUCCACGUGUAGCGGUGAAAUGCGUAGAGAUGUGGAGGAACACCAGUGGCGAAGGCGACUCUCUGGUCUGUAACUGACGCUGAGGAGCGAAAGCGUGGGGAGCGAACAGGAUUAGAUACCCUGGUAGUCCACGCCGUAAACGAUGAGUGCUAAGUGUUAGGGGGUUUCCGCCCCUUAGUGCUGCAGCUAACGCAUUAAGCACUCCGCCUGGGGAGUACGGUCGCAAGACUGAAACUCAAAGGAAUUGACGGGGGCCCGCACAAGCGGUGGAGCAUGUGGUUUAAUUCGAAGCAACGCGAAGAACCUUACCAGGUCUUGACAUCCUCUGACAAUCCUAGAGAUAGGACGUCCCCUUCGGGGGCAGAGUGACAGGUGGUGCAUGGUUGUCGUCAGCUCGUGUCGUGAGAUGUUGGGUUAAGUCCCGCAACGAGCGCAACCCUUGAUCUUAGUUGCCAGCAUUCAGUUGGGCACUCUAAGGUGACUGCCGGUGACAAACCGGAGGAAGGUGGGGGAUGACGUCAAAUCAUCAUGCCCCUUAUGACCUGGGCUACACACGUGCUACAAUGGACAGAACAA